Molecule: ribosomal RNA, 378 nt
Filed under: Triticum aestivum (bread wheat)
Lineage: Eukaryota; Viridiplantae; Streptophyta; Magnoliopsida; Poales; Poaceae
Description: partial small subunit ribosomal RNA
Source: RNAcentral
AUGGGUACCCGCCGACUGCGCCGCCGGGGCCCGACAAGCGCCAGGAUGUGGGCGGCGGGCGCGACCAUGAGCGCCACGCUGCUCGCCCUCCCGAACGCGGCCCGCGCGCAUGGUGCCGGGCGCCGCCCUGGUAGUACAUCCCGCGCAGGAGGAGCUCCAAUUUAUACGAACAGCUUCUGCCGGCCGCCGCCUCCCUCCCGCGGGCCACAACCUCGCCCCCUCCUCCCGCGGACCGCAUCCUCGCAGCCGCAGUCGCCGUCGCCUCCUCCCGCGGGCCACAGCCUCGCCGUCUCCUCCCGCGGGCCGCAUCCUCGCAGCCGACAGUAUGCAAUGACUUGCACCCUCAGGCUUUCUAGUUGUAGAAGAGUACCUAUUUAG